Molecule: ribosomal RNA, 253 nt
Filed under: uncultured bacterium
Lineage: Bacteria
Description: partial 16S ribosomal RNA
Rfam family: Bacterial small subunit ribosomal RNA
Source: RNAcentral
UACGUAGGGGGCGAGCGUUAAUCGGAAUUACUGGGCGUAAAGCGUGCGCAGGCGGUUAAGUAAGACAGAUGUGAAAUUCCCGGGCUCAACCUGGGAACUGCAUUUGUGACCGCUUGACUAGAGUGCGGCAGAGGGGAGGGGAAUUCCGCGUGUAGCAGUGAAAUGCGUAGGUAUGCGGAGGAACACCGAUGGCGAAGGCAACUACCUUGGCCUGCACUGACGCUCAUGCACGAAAGCGUGGGGAGCAAACAGG